GCCAAAGAAGACAACAUAUAUAAUAACAGAGUGUAUAGCGAUAAAUGUCACAAUAACAUCAGAGUAUUUAUUACAUAGCGGAAGUCUUACAAAAUAAAUUAUAAAUAUAGAUCAAACUAAAUCCAUCCUUGGUGCAAUAAAGUCAACUGGGAUACGCCACCUAGAUCGAAUCGAACUCCUCGAAGUGUGGCUCCUCCUGAACCACCUGUUCUUCUCCCGUGGGGGGUGUGAGACAGCAAAGGUGAGCUCACACAUGAUUAUAACUCAACAAGUUGUGGGGAAUAAUGUGCAUGAACUCACCAAAGGUGGGAGCUCAUGAAGUGUGAGGCUUACCAAAGAGAAUGGUUAAAGUUGAGCAUUGCUUUUAAAGUUGGUCAAAAUUUUAUUAGCAAUUACUAAGUAUAAGUAGAUACCAAACCAUAAUAAUAAUAGAACAAAAUUAAUACAUAAUCCCAUGCAAAUGCAUAUGACAAAUUGAAUUUAAGUUUCAUAAUUUAAUCAUGCGAGAGUCCUGAGCUACUCAUGACCGUGAGCUCGGCUAGUAUACCAGUUUUACACUCUGCAGAGGUUGUACCCUGUACCCACAAGUCGUGUAUCCCAUGUCGCUAGGGUUAGCUAGACCCUGAGACACUACCGAGGUGAAUGGCUAGGGAUCCACUAUGAGGCCUUUACAAAGAUCCACUAGCUUCCGAAAACCCACUAUGGAAGAGCACUUGCAAGAAUCCCUCGUCUGACCGCCAUCGCAGCAAAAUCAACCCGAGAAUCUCCUUGCAUGCAACUCCCCUACUGCCCUUGCCCCUUUUGGGUAAGGUAGUCUUCCACUAGCUUUUCUAAUUAGUUAGUCAAGGGCGUCCCAUUCCACCCUUGUGGUGGCACGUGUUUCUCAAGUUAAGCUUCAUGUUCCAAUUAACAUUAAUGAUCUUGAGAUGAACAUAAAUAGAAUAACAAAAUAAUUGGAUCAUAGAUAUAAUGAAAUAUUAUCCCAAAACCAUGUAAAGCAAUAGAAAAACUACCCAAGUGAUUCAGGGAUAACAAGGUAAAAUGAAUAAACAGGCUAGGGUGACCUAUUGGGUCCCAUCAAAAUUAAACCUAUGCAUGAAUAAGUGAUAUUAAAGAACAUUACUGGGUAAACAUAAAUGAUCAAGGGCACAACUUGCCUCGCACUUGAGCUUCCAAUUACCAGGAUGAUUCUUCAGAUCCUCGUAACCUUGCACUAGUUAUAGCAAUACAAACAGACAUGGUAUAGACAAAAUUAACAUCACACCAAACAUAAGAACAUACUGCAUAAUAAUGAUCUACGCGUGCUACGAGAUUGUGGGAACGAAAACCACUAAAUUCGGAGUUACGAUCCUCAAGUUAUGAUGUGAUUAAAUGAUUAAAACCAGGUUUUAUUUUAUAAUUCCAGAGAAAAGAUAACCUAAAGUAGUAAUUAAUUCAACUUUAAUCUAAAUCACAAAUUGACCAUAGAUCAUAUUUUAGUAGAUUACAAUGGUAAGUAGAUUAACAAGACUAACCAACAUAAGUUAAAUAAAGACCUUAUUAUAAAAGAAUGAGACAUGGUAUAAUAAGUGUUGUUAUUGCAUAGUAAAUAUUUAUACAAGACUAACACAACUUGAACGGAUCAAAUCAAAGUUAAAACGGAGAAGUUACAGAUUUCCUAAGGUUUUAUGUAUUAGAUACGAGAUUAAUUAAAAGAUAAGUUUUAAUAUGUUUUUCAUGUCACAACAGAGACACUAGGUGAUACACAAUAAUAUUAUAAAAUUAUAGAAACUGGAAUGAGCUCAUUUGGACUUAAUAUGAAUUUUCUAUGAAUUAAAUGAGUUUCUGCAAUUAUUUUUAAACCCAAAAUCAAUUUCUAAAUUCCUUUUCCUUACUUUCUUUAUCUCCUAGACUGCGCCUCAAUUUCUAUAAAAGAUAGGGGUCUCUGCGCAAAGGUCCCAAGACAUAGAGAAUAGCCCUAUGGAUUGCGGGUUCUAAUUCCUGAUUUCUAGGGGUCUCUUUUAUAAAAACACACGGUGAAGGGUAUCAUCUGAUUUCAGCCGUUGGAUCAGAUCCAAAGGCCGAGAUUAGAUCGUGGUCUUCUUAAAGGGCUACGCUCUGAUCACCGCCGGAUCCAGAAUCAACGGUAGAGAACGAAGCCGAUCCAAACCCACACACUGGUCAUCCGAUGUCGUAUCAACGCCCAGGAUUUUAAAAAGGCAGUGAUCUACCUCGCCCAUGCGAUCGCAGAUCAACGACCCAGGCUUGAUCUACAGAAACGAUACACCCGAUCAACCCACACCAUAGGUUGCAAGAUCAACGGCACACACCCCUUCUUCUUCCCUGAACCCGCGCACGACGGCAGCGAUUCGAGCGGGGGCCGCACGCCUCGCCGGAGCAAGCUAUUCGGCGACCCAAGGCGUGAUCCUAGCGUUCAACUGGCGCAACGCAAAUAGGAGGACUUAGUGAAUCGAUGGAGGUAUACCGUACCGUGGACUGCAGUCCGGUUGACGAUGGUCACGCAGGUCAGCUCGAGGUGCAGACACCAGUGGUGAGCAGACAGUCGUCGGAGAUGGCGAUGCCCCCACCCUUCAACCACGUACGGUUCUGUCGAGCCCGGGGAUUAUCCUCAACCAACCACCGACGCAAGUACACCGUUGACGGGGUGACUGUGGCGCUUGCGGCACAACUCUCUCUCUCCUAUCCUUCUCGGCGGACCUACCCUGCCCAGUGGAGGCACGGACGUCGAUGAGGGUUGUGCCCAGAUUGUUGACGAGGUUUUGCGCGCGGCCGGGUUUAUAUGUGCUGGUGCCAAGGAGCCCGAGAUGCGCGAUUGGAGGAACGACCCGUGCGAAGAACGUGAGGUUGUUCACGCCGCGCCGAUUUCGCGGGG
This 2872-nucleotide long non-coding RNA is filed under the name Zea mays. RNAcentral's name for it is "long non-coding RNA (ZMAY_LNC001635)". Lineage: Eukaryota; Viridiplantae; Streptophyta; Magnoliopsida; Poales; Poaceae. The record is from RNAcentral.